GCAGGUGGGCGUGCAAGUCGGAAGUGAAAUCCCUGGGCUUAACCCAGGAACUGCCCUCAAAACGGGAAGGCUAGAGUCCGAGAGAGGUGAGUGGAAUUUCCAGUGUAGAGGUGAAAUUCGUAGAUAUUGGAAAGAACACCAGUGGCGAAGGCGGCUCACUGGCUCGGUACUGACGCUGAGGUGCGACAGCGUGGGGAGCAAACA
RNAcentral lists this ribosomal RNA (204 nucleotides) under uncultured bacterium. RNAcentral describes it as "partial 16S ribosomal RNA". It matches the Rfam family "Bacterial small subunit ribosomal RNA", at positions 571 to 774 of the family's 1533-position model. The record is from RNAcentral.